RNAcentral lists this ribosomal RNA (386 nucleotides) under uncultured bacterium. Its description in RNAcentral is "bacterial SSU rRNA". It matches the Rfam family "Bacterial small subunit ribosomal RNA", at positions 29 to 416 of the family's 1533-position model. The record is from RNAcentral.
AUUGAACGCUGGCGGCAUGCUUUACACAUGCAAGUCGAACGGCAGCGGGGGCUUCGGCCUGCCGGCGAGUGGCGAACGGGUGAGUAAUGCAUCGGAACGUGCCCAGUCAUGGGGGAUAACUACGCGAAAGCGUAGCUAAUACCGCAUACGCCCUGAGGGGGAAAGUGGGGGAUCUUCGGACCUCACGUGAUUGGAGCGGCCGAUGUCAGAUUAGCUAGUUGGUGAGGUAAAGGCUCACCAAGGCGACGAUCUGUAGCGGGUCUGAGAGGAUGAUCCGCCACACUGGGACUGAGACACGGCCCAGACUCCUACGGGAGGCAGCAGUGGGGAAUUUUGGACAAUGGGCGCAAGCCUGAUCCAGCCAUGCCGCGUGAGUGAAGAAGGCC